AUUGAACGCUGGCGGCAGGCCUAACACAUGCAAGUCGAGCGGAUGAAGGGAGCUUGCUCCUGGAUUCAGCGGCGGACGGGUGAGUAAUGCCUAGGAAUCUGCCUGGUAGUGGGGGAUAACGUCCGGAAACGGGCGCUAAUACCGCAUACGUCCUGAGGGAGAAAGUGGGGGAUCUUCGGACCUCACGCUAUCAGAUGAGCCUAGGUCGGAUUAGCUAGUUGGUGGGGUAAAGGCCUACUAAGGCGACGAUCCGUAACUGGUCUGAGAGGAUGAUCAGUCACACUGGAACUGAGACACGGUCCGGACUCCUACGGGAGGCAGCAGUGGGGAAUAUUGGACAAUGGGCGAAAGCCUGCUCCAGCCAUGCCGCGUGUGUGAAGAAGGUCUUCGGAUUGUAAAGCACUUUAAGUUGGGAGGAAGGGCAGUAAGUUAAUACCUUGCUGUUUUGACGUUACCAACAGAAUAAGCACCGGCUAACUUCGUG
This 484-nucleotide ribosomal RNA is filed under the name uncultured bacterium. Its description in RNAcentral is "partial 16S ribosomal RNA". It matches the Rfam family "Bacterial small subunit ribosomal RNA", at positions 30 to 507 of the family's 1533-position model. The record is from RNAcentral.